This 429-nucleotide ribosomal RNA is filed under the name Verrucomicrobiota bacterium. Its description in RNAcentral is "Verrucomicrobia bacterium partial 16S ribosomal RNA". It matches the Rfam family "Bacterial small subunit ribosomal RNA", at positions 355 to 776 of the family's 1533-position model. Lineage: Bacteria; Pseudomonadati; Verrucomicrobiota. The record is from RNAcentral.
UGGGGAAUCUUCCGCAAUGGACGAAAGUCUGACGGAGCAACGCCGCGUGAGUGAUGACGGUCUUCGGAUUGUAAAGCUCUGUUAAUCGGGACGAAUGGUUUGUGUGCAAAUAGUGCAUAGACAUGACGGUACCGGAAUAGAAAGCCACGGCUAACUACGUGCCAGCAGCCGCGGUAAUACGUAGGUGGCAAGCGUUGUCCGGAAUUAUUGGGCGUAAAGCGCGCGCAGGCGGACUAGCCAGUCAGUCUUAAAAGUUCGGGGCUUAACCCCGUGAUGGGAUUGAAACUACUAGUCUAGAGUAUCGGAGAGGAAAGUGGAAUUCCUAGUGUAGCGGUGAGAAGCGUAGAUAUUAGGAGGAAUACCGGUGGCGAAGGCGACUUUCUGGGCUUUUACUGACGCUCAGGUACGAAAGCGUGGGGAGCAAACAGG